RNAcentral lists this long non-coding RNA (735 nucleotides) under Sus scrofa (pig). Its description in RNAcentral is "lncRNA (ENSSSCG00055000885.1)". The record is from RNAcentral. Lineage: Eukaryota; Metazoa; Chordata; Mammalia; Artiodactyla; Suidae.
ACAGAAGAGGAAACUCUAUGAAGGGUAAUCAGUGUUUGGUGGUCUUUCCUGGCCAAAGUGAGGGCAAGAGAUUGUUAAACAGCUUAGGAAAUGCAGUAGAGAUACCAAGAUGGCCCUUUUUUUGGAUUUGGGAAUGGGAUAAUUCUGCUCUCCUUUGGAAUUCUCCCCGGCACAUCUCCUUGGAGCAUCACAAGCUUCCUGGUGUGAAAACCUACGGGCCUACUGGGAGGAAUUCUUGUGCCUGGUUUGCCCAUCAUGGUGCUCCCACCUCCAGGUCCAGUGCUCGGCGUUAAGUAAGUGCUUCAUGAAUAUGUGUUCCAUGAAUCCACUGCCUUAUCUGCUCACUCAUCUUAGGACAAGCCAAGGAGGAGAACCAGAAGCACAGAAAGGAGGGAGUGUGUGUGAGUUCACUUAUCAAGCCCCCCCAAAAGUGCAUCUGUUAUGUGUCAGGCUCUGGGGAUGUGAAAAAGUUGGCAGAAGAGAAACCAGUUGACUGCCUUCAAGAUCUUAACUUCUAGGAGUUCCUAUUGUGGGUCAGAGGUAAUGAACCCAACUAGUAUCCGUAAGGUUUGAUGCCAGGUCUCACUCAGUGGGUUAAGGAUCUGGCAUUGCCAUGAGCUUGGUAGGUUGCAGAAAAGGCUCAGAUCCAGCUGGUGGCUACCGCUCGCAUUUGACCCCUAGCCUGGGAACUUCCAUACACUGUGGGUAUGGCCCUAAAAACAAAAAACAAAAAAA